CAACCCUUAAGCCUAGCUUAGUGUUGGGAGACUGCCUAAUACGCAGCUCCUCAAAACCAGUGGCGGAGUCUGUUCGUGCUCUGAGCGUAGUAAUUUUUUAUCUCGCUUCUACAAGCCGGCCAGACGACAGCCAUAAACCGCACCCUCUCGGGGGGCACUUUUUUAAU
This 167-nucleotide unclassified non-coding RNA is filed under the name uncultured Xylariales. RNAcentral describes it as "partial internal transcribed spacer 2". Lineage: Eukaryota; Fungi; Ascomycota; Sordariomycetes; Xylariales. The record is from RNAcentral.